Molecule: ribosomal RNA, 465 nt
Filed under: Vreelandella stevensii
Lineage: Bacteria; Pseudomonadati; Pseudomonadota; Gammaproteobacteria; Oceanospirillales; Halomonadaceae
Description: partial 16S ribosomal RNA
Rfam family: Bacterial small subunit ribosomal RNA
Source: RNAcentral
CCUACGGGUGGCAGCAGUGGGGAAUAUUGGACAAUGGGCGAAAGCCUGAUCCAGCCAUGCCGCGUGUGUGAAGAAGGCCUUCGGGUUGUAAAGCACUUUCAGUGGGGAAGAAAGCCUUGGGGCUAAUACCCUCGAGGAAGGACAUCACCCACAGAAGAAGCACCGGCUAACUCCGUGCCAGCAGCCGCGGUAAUACGGAGGGUGCGAGCGUUAAUCGGAAUUACUGGGCGUAAAGCGCGCGUAGGCGGUCUGAUAAGCCGGUUGUGAAAGCCCCGGGCUCAACCUGGGGACGGCAUCCGGAACUGUCAGGCUAGAGUGCAGGAGAGGAAGGUAGAAUUCCCGGUGUAGCGGUGAAAUGCGUAGAGAUCGGGAGGAAUACCAGUGGCGAAGGCGGCCUUCUGGACUGACACUGACGCUGAGGUGCGAAAGCGUGGGUAGCAAACAGGAUUAGAUACCCCUGUAGUC